RNAcentral lists this long non-coding RNA (1088 nucleotides) under Oncorhynchus mykiss (rainbow trout). RNAcentral's name for it is "lncRNA (ENSOMYG00000062513.1)". The record is from RNAcentral. Lineage: Eukaryota; Metazoa; Chordata; Actinopteri; Salmoniformes; Salmonidae.
AUGUUCUAGUAAUGUCCCUGACAGAGGGUAGCUAGUAGCCUGUCUGUAUGUUCUAGUAAUGUCCCCGACAGAGGGUAGCAAAUAGCCUAUCUGUGUGUUAUAUUAAUAUCCCUGACAGAGGGUAGCUAGUAGCCUCACCAUAGUUUGUGCUGUCUUGCCAACUUGCACAAUAAAGAGGAGCUGGAAAGACGGCACAAACAGAUCUGGGACCAAGCUCAUCAGGUUAAUGGGUUUAGACCAAAAUCCUUUGGUAAAUGCUUAGUCUCAACCUGCUGUAGGCUUGUUUGAACAAUACUGUUAAUGUCCUCUAAUGCAUUUGUAUACAUUUGUUUUAGUUUUCCAGUAAUGAUUGUGCAUUUGAAUAGCCCUUUGAGGACUUCUAUUCUAUCGUCACCUGUCCUGUUCCCCCCCUGGUUAAGGUGCUACUGGUGUAAUCGUACUAUACCAGAGACUCACCUGAUUGGGGGCCUUUGCCUUCUCAGCUGAGUUCAUUGUGAGCAUCACCAUCAUGGCCUUCAUGUACCGUAUGGGGACUGUACCGUAUCGUAUGGGGACCGUAUCGUAUGGGGACUGUACCGUACCGUAUGGGGACCGUACCGUAUGGGGACUGUACCGUAUGGGGACUGUAUCGUAUGGGGACUGUAGCGUAUCGUAUGGGGACCGUAUCGUAUGGGGACCGUACCGUAUGGGGACCGUAUCGUAUGGGGACUGUACUGUAUCGUAUGGGGACUGUACUGUAUCGUAUGGGGACUGUACUGUAUCGUAUGGGGACUGUAGCGUAUCGUAUGGGGACUGUACUGUAUCGUAUGGGGACUGUAUCGUAUGGGGACUGUAUCGUAUGGGGACUGUACCGUAUCGUAUGGGGACUGUACCGUAUUGUAUGGGGACUGUACCGUAUCGUAUGGGGACUGCUGGUCUAUCCUCUCCGUGUGUGUGUGUGUCUCCUUCCUUCCAUUCUGGCAGAACAUUGUGGUGAUCGUGCUCUUUGCCAUCCUGUGGUUGAAGAGUGUGUCGUCAUGGGCCAGGGGUCUACAGAGUGUACCCUGGCACAGUGCCGAGGACAGGGCAUGGUCUCAACGUGUCUGUGA